AUGUUACCUUUCAAUGUCAGACUGAGACUCCACAGAUAAAAGAGCAGUUGAAGAGGUGCAAAGAUGUCUUUCUGCAGGGCAGCAACAGUGAAUUUUGCUCCUUUGUGAAUUCAACCUUGGUGAAUUUGGAGACCAUGUGUGCAGGGGACAGAGCAGUAUCGCUGCAGGAUGUUGCUCGUCCCUUUGGUUCCUUCCUGAAUAGCUCCAUCCUCAGUGCUGGUGGGAAGGAGAACGAGGGGGAGGUGGCCUCUGCCGUGACGUUCCUCCUGCAGAGUGUGGAAUUGGCUGCACUGACAGCUGCUUUGAGGUCU
This is a long non-coding RNA of Mauremys reevesii (Reeves's turtle), 311 nucleotides long. RefSeq lists it as uncharacterized. The transcript has 3 exons. The record is from RefSeq and is a predicted model, not a curated record. NCBI's taxonomy places the organism in Eukaryota, Metazoa, Chordata, Testudines, Geoemydidae.